RNAcentral lists this ribosomal RNA (253 nucleotides) under uncultured bacterium. RNAcentral's name for it is "partial 16S ribosomal RNA". It matches the Rfam family "Bacterial small subunit ribosomal RNA", at positions 524 to 776 of the family's 1533-position model. The record is from RNAcentral.
UACAGAGGGUGCAAGCGUUAAUCGGAAUUACUGGGCGUAAAGGGUGCGUAGGUGGCUUAAUAAGUUAGGUGUGAAAGUCCUGGGCUUAACCUGGGGAUUGCGCCUAAUACUGUUAAGCUAGAGUACUGUAGAGGAAGGUGGAAUUUCCGGUGUAGAGGUGAAAUUCGUAGAUAUCGAGAGGAACACCGGUGGCGAAGGCGGCCAACUGGACAGAUACUGACGCUGAGACACGAAAGCGUGGGGAGCAAACAGG